RNAcentral lists this unclassified non-coding RNA (595 nucleotides) under leaf metagenome. RNAcentral's name for it is "partial contains internal transcribed spacer 1, 5.8S ribosomal RNA, and internal transcribed spacer 2". The stretch from base 270 to 423 matches the Rfam family "5.8S ribosomal RNA". The record is from RNAcentral.
UACUGAGUUAUUAAAACUCCAAACCCUUUGUGAACCUUACUGUCGUUGCCUCGGCGUGAGCUACGGCUACCCUGUAGUUACCCUAUAGCUACCCUGCAGCUACCCUAUAGUUGACCAGUAGCUACCCUGUAGUUACCCUAUAGCUACCCUGCAGCUACCCUAUAGUUGACAUGUAGCUACCCUGUAGCCGGCUUAUGGCCCGCCGAAGGACCGCUAAACUCUUGUUUUUUUACCACUGUUUCUCUGAAUUGUAAACUUAAAUAAGUUAAAACUUUCAACAACGGAUCUCUUGGUUCUGGCAUCGAUGAAGAACGCAGCGAAAUGCGAUAAGUAAUGUGAAUUGCAGAAUUCAGUGAAUCAUCGAAUCUUUGAACGCACAUUGCGCCCAUUAGUAUUCUAGUGGGCAUGCCUAUUCGAGCGUCAUUUCGACCCUUAAGCCCCUGUUGCUUAGCGUUGGGAAUCUACAGCGUAGUUCCUUAAAGUUAGUGGCGGAGUUAGGGUACACUCUCAGCGUAGUAAUCUUUCUCGCUCGUGUGGUGGCCCUGGCUGCUAGCCGUUAAACCCCUAUAUUUUCUAGUGGUUGACCUCGGAUUAG